This 401-nucleotide ribosomal RNA is filed under the name uncultured bacterium. RNAcentral describes it as "partial 16S ribosomal RNA". It matches the Rfam family "Archaeal small subunit ribosomal RNA", at positions 473 to 873 of the family's 1478-position model. The record is from RNAcentral.
ACACCGGCAGCCCAAGUGGUGGCCAUUUUUAUUGGGCCUAAAGCGUUCGUAGCCGGCCUGAUAAGUCUCUGGUGAAAUCCCGCAGCUUAACUGUGGGAAUUGCUGGAGAUACUAUCAGGCUUGAGGUCGGGAGAGGUUAGAGGUACUCCCAGGGUAGGGGUGAAAUCCUAUAAUCCUGGGAGGACCACCUGUGGCGAAGGCGUCUAACUGGAACGAACCGGACGGGGAGUAACGAAAGCCAGGGGCGCGAACCGGAUUGGAUACCCGGGUAGUCCUGGCCGUAAACGAUGUGGACUUGGUGUUGGGAUGGCCUCGAGCUGCCCCAGUGCCGAAGGGAAGCUGUUAAGUCCACCGCCUGGGAAGUACGGUCGCAAGACUGAAACUUAAAGGAAUUGACGGGG